AAUCAACGCUGGCGGCGUGCCUAACACAUGCAAGUCGAACGCGAAAGUGGAGCAAUCCAUGAGUAGAGUGGCAAACGGGUGAGUAACACGUGGGUGACCUGCCUUCGAGCGGGGGAUAACGUCCCGAAAGGGACGCUAAUACCGCAUAACAUCCUGCCUUUUAAGAGGUGGAGAUCAAAGCCGGGGAUUCGCAAGAACCUGGCACUUGAAGAGGGGCCCGCGCCUGAUUAGCUAGUUGGUGGGGUAAUGGCUCACCAAGGCAACGAUCAG
Molecule: ribosomal RNA, 270 nt
Filed under: uncultured bacterium
Lineage: Bacteria
Description: partial 16S ribosomal RNA
Rfam family: Bacterial small subunit ribosomal RNA
Source: RNAcentral